Molecule: non-coding RNA, 870 nt
Organism: Paramuricea clavata
Lineage: Eukaryota; Metazoa; Cnidaria; Anthozoa; Malacalcyonacea; Plexauridae
Source: the annotation of a GenBank genome assembly
CCCCCCCCCCACAUACUUUAUGACCGGUCCCUUAGAAGAUAUUCAAGUUUUUUUCUCCAAACGAAAUUCCGAUUGUUUCGCCAAGCGGUGAUUAAAUGUAUGAUUGUUUUGGUUUAUGUAAUGUUUUGACGGCAUUUGAUCCCCCGUUCGAAAGGUUAUUUUGUGAGGAUUUCAAUCUUAUGGUGGUUUUCGUACUCUUUGACGACAGGACGGAAUAUUUAUAUUUCUGUUCGUGGUAUCUUACAAGUAACACCCAGAAUUGGCUAUAGAUUAGUACAAGAAUAUUUAUAUUUCUCUUGUAAACAUCCAGACGGCGAGAAAGAUAUUCGGCUGAAUCAGCAAUGUUUGUGGUUAACUUCCGUUUCCUGACUUCCUCUGUAUUUUAGUUCUUACUUCCGUUUCCUUUCGAUUUAUAUUUUUGACUUUUCGAUUUAUUUUUAUGCGCCGCGGCUUUGACUUAUCAUUUGGGAGUUUCGCUUUAUAAAUGGAAGUUAGGACUUGCGUUUAGUUUUCAUAUAUAUCCUUUGAGGUUUGAAAUGUAUUUUGCAUUUUUCAAGUAUAUGCUUUAAACUUUCGUUUUAUUCAUUUGAGUUUGAACUUUAUCUUGAUAUUUUCAAUUAACAUUAUAUUGAGAGUUAUAACAUGUUUAUAUGAUGUUUGAAUAUUUCUUAUUGACUUGAAAUAAUUUUGACCGGAACGGAACGCCAUAAUGACGUCAAACUCACGCGUGUAUGUACAAUUUGACCUGUAGAACCAUUUCUGGCAUUUGCAAGGUCAUACGAUACAAAGGUCGCAUUGUUUUGACGGUUUUCAGUCGUAUUUCCGGUUGGGAUUAACUCACUUCGAGCUAAAAGUCGGACAAGAAAUGAA